Molecule: long non-coding RNA, 1075 nt
Organism: Triticum aestivum (bread wheat)
Lineage: Eukaryota; Viridiplantae; Streptophyta; Magnoliopsida; Poales; Poaceae
Exons: 2
Source: RefSeq, a predicted model, not a curated record
UCAAUCUGGUGAGCAUAUGAGGCUGCAGUACUGGGUUUAUGCUAAGAAGUUAGACUGUUUGCUGAUUAAUUCGUGUCAAAUAGUAGCAGUUUUCUAAUCCAAGUUCAUUUGAUUUUGUAGGGCAGGGGGAGAUCCAAUACCAAGAUUUAUGAUUUGACAUGAAUAGGGAGAUAGCCCUCCGUGUCCUGGAGGUCACUGUAGGCUGCAGCGAAGGGCACACUGCAAUUAGCGGGCACACGGAUGCAGUGAUCCUGCAUAAGCUUUGCUGUGUUGAUUUCUUGUCAAGGACGCUGCUGUCCAAGCCUUUCCUCUGCCUUGAUUAGUGGUACUUCUCUCCCAUUCAACAUGUUUCACUAAUUUAUUUGAUUAUUGAGUGAUAUGACCUAAUUAAUCUGUACUUGGACACACAGCCAAAGAGUAGCAUGCAAACUUUGUACUCUCUCCGUCCCAAAAUUCUUGUCUUAGAUUUGUUCAAGUAUGGAUGUAUCUACUUACGUUUUAGUGUUAGAUACGUCCAUAUCUAGACAAAUUUAAGACAAGAAUUUUGGGACGAAGGGAGUACAAGACAGUCUGACCUAGCACUUGGUAAUGAGAUGAAAUAUGUUCGGUAAUGCAAGCAUUUUUGUAGGGAAUCACUGACACCAUGAACCUAUUUGUAAAGCAGAGGAUGAAGCGUUCAUUCAAUUUAUAGAUUGAGAAAUGAAAUAGGUAGCGGAGCAAUUGAUAAGUAGGGAGUGAGGCAUUGAUCAACAAUUGAUAAAGCAGGGAAAUGAGGCGAGGCAUUGAUCCCAAUUAUCCAUGGGAAACGGAAGAGAGGCAACAAUUUCAGAGAAUAAGAAGGCCACCGUGCAGAUCUUGGGUACAAUUAAUAUUCAGAGAUAGUAUAGAGCUGCCCAUGUGUGUAAAACAACGGAGACAAGGCAUAGACAUAGGUGAUACUAUACUACUCUGUCCGGCAUGGUACAUACUAACUUUUUCUCUCCCUAGGUCCUUCCCCUACUUAUUCUUGUUGACAAUGCACUUUGUCGAAUUAUUAUUGCCAAGGCUUCAAUUGUAAGGAAAGGAUUUUUCUGUA